CUUUCUCUGACUGUUAAUUACAUUGCCACUGUUCGACAUAUUUACUAAACAUUGUAGACGUAACAGUAUUGACCACUGAGGUACUAUCAACAUAUUCUGUUAUGAUACACAAAUGUUUUGCCUUCCACUCAGAAAAUGUUUUCCUUACAUAAAAAUUCCAAUUUUUUUUUUACACUUAUGUUUUUUACUCAUAAUAUCUGCCCACAUGAAAAAUUUUCUGUUUAAACGAUC
RNAcentral lists this long non-coding RNA (231 nucleotides) under Mytilus galloprovincialis (Mediterranean mussel). Lineage: Eukaryota; Metazoa; Mollusca; Bivalvia; Mytilida; Mytilidae. The record is from RNAcentral.